This 1344-nucleotide ribosomal RNA is filed under the name uncultured bacterium. Its description in RNAcentral is "bacterial SSU rRNA". It matches the Rfam family "Bacterial small subunit ribosomal RNA", at positions 28 to 1381 of the family's 1533-position model. The record is from RNAcentral.
GAUGAACGCUGGCGGCGUGCUUAACACAUGCAAGUCGAACGGAAAGGCCUCUGCUUGCAGGGGUACUCGAGUGGCGAACGGGUGAGUAACACGUGGGUGAUCUGCCCUGCACUUCGGGAUAAGCCUGGGAAACUGGGUCUAAUACCGGAUAGGACAAUGGUUUGGAUGCCGUUGUGGAAAGUUUUUCGGUGUGGGAUGAGCUCGCGGCCUAUCAGCUUGUUGGUGGGGUAAUGGCCUACCAAGGCGUCGACGGGUAGCCGGCCUGAGAGGGUGUACGGCCACAUUGGGACUGAGAUACGGCCCAGACUCCUACGGGAGGCAGCAGUGGGGAAUAUUGCACAAUGGGCGCAAGCCUGAUGCAGCGACGCCGCGUGGGGGAUGACGGCCUUCGGGUUGUAAACUCCUUUCGUUAGGGACGAAGCGUUUUUGUGACGGUACCUGGAGAAGAAGCACCGGCUAACUACGUGCCAGCAGCCGCGGUAAUACGUAGGGUGCGAGCGUUGUCCGGAAUUACUGGGCGUAAAGAGCUCGUAGGUGGUUUGUCGCGUCGUUUGUGUAAGCCCGCAGCUUAACUGCGGGACUGCAGGCGAUACGGGCAUAACUUGAGUGCUGUAGGGGAGACUGGAAUUCCUGGUGUAGCGGUGGAAUGCGCAGAUAUCAGGAGGAACACCGAUGGCGAAGGCAGGUCUCUGGGCAGUAACUGACGCUGAGGAGCGAAAGCAUGGGUAGCGAACAGGAUUAGAUACCCUGGUAGUCCAUGCCGUAAACGGUGGGCGCUAGGUGUGAGUCCCUUCCACGGGGUUCGUGCCGUAGCUAACGCAUUAAGCGCCCCGCCUGGGGAGUACGGCCGCAAGGCCAAAACUCAAAGGAAUUGACGGGGGCCCGCACAAGCGGCGGAGCAUGUGGAUUAAUUCGAUGCAACGCGAAGAACCUUACCUGGGCUUGACAUACACCAGACCGGGCCAGAGAUGGUCUUUCCCUUUGUGGUUGGUGUACAGGUGGUGCAUGGUUGUCGUCAGCUCGUGUCGUGAGAUGUUGGGUUAAGUCCCGCAACGAGCGCAACCCUUGUCUUAUGUUGCCAGCAAUUCGGUUGGGGACUCGUGAGAGACUGCCGGGGUUAACUCGGAGGAAGGUGGGGAUGACGUCAAAUCAUCAUGCCCCUUAUGUCCAGGGCUUCACACAUGCUACAAUGGUCGGUACAACGCGUCUGCGAGCCUGUGAGGGUGAGCUAAUCGCUGUAAAGCCGGUCGUAGUUCGGAUUGGGGUCUGCAACUCGACCCCAUGAAGUCGGAGUCGCUAGUAAUCGCAGAUCAGCAACGCUGCGGUGAAUACGUUCCCGGGCCU